UGGGGAAUAUUGCACAAUGGGCGCAAGCCUGAUGCAGCGACGCCGCGUGGGGGAUGACGGCCUUCGGGUUGUAAACCUCUUUCAGCACAGACGAAGCGCAAGUGACGGUAUGUGCAGAAGAAGCACCGGCCAACUACGUGCCAGCAGCCGCGGUAAUACGUAGGGUGCGAGCGUUGUCCGGAAUUACUGGGCGUAAAGAGCUCGUAGGUGGUUUGUCGCGUUGUCCGUGAAAACUCACAGCUUAACUGUGGGCGUGCGGGCGAUACGGGCAGACUGGAGUACUGCAGGGGGAGACUGGAAUUCCUGGUGUAGCGGUGGAAUGCGCAGAUAUCAGGAGGAACACCGGUGGCGAAGGCGGGUCUCUGGGCAGUAACUGACGCUGAGGAGCGAAAGCGUGGGGAGCGAACAGGAUUAGGAUACCCUGGUAGUCCACGCUGUAAACGGUGGGUACUAGGUGUGGGUUUCCUUCCUUGGGAUCCGUGCCGUAGCUAACG
This 494-nucleotide ribosomal RNA is filed under the name uncultured Actinomycetes bacterium. RNAcentral's name for it is "bacterial SSU rRNA". It matches the Rfam family "Bacterial small subunit ribosomal RNA", at positions 355 to 857 of the family's 1533-position model. Lineage: Bacteria; Bacillati; Actinomycetota; Actinomycetes. The record is from RNAcentral.